This 81-nucleotide transfer RNA is filed under the name Candidatus Pacearchaeota archaeon. RNAcentral describes it as "tRNA-Ser". It matches the Rfam family "tRNA". Rfam says of the family: Transfer RNA (tRNA) molecules are approximately 80 nucleotides in length. Their secondary structure includes four short double-helical elements and three loops (D, anti-codon, and T loops). Further hydrogen bonds mediate the characteristic L-shaped molecular structure. tRNAs have two regions of fundamental functional importance: the anti-codon, which is responsible for specific mRNA codon recognition, and the 3' end, to which the tRNAs corresponding amino acid is attached (by aminoacyl-tRNA synthetases). tRNAs cope with the degeneracy of the genetic code in two manners: having more than one tRNA (with a specific anti-codon) for a particular amino acid; and 'wobble' base-pairing, i.e. permitting non-standard base-pairing at the 3rd anti-codon position. The record is from RNAcentral. Lineage: Archaea; Nanobdellati. RNAcentral also lists the same sequence under 1 other name.
GCCGGUAUCGCAUAAUGGUAUUGCACUGGAUUGCUAAUCCAGGCCUUUCGGGGCUCCCAGGUUCGAUUCCUGGUGCCGGCG